This 633-nucleotide ribosomal RNA is filed under the name Lacticaseibacillus casei. RNAcentral describes it as "bacterial SSU rRNA". It matches the Rfam family "Bacterial small subunit ribosomal RNA", at positions 17 to 613 of the family's 1533-position model. The record is from RNAcentral. Lineage: Bacteria; Bacillati; Bacillota; Bacilli; Lactobacillales; Lactobacillaceae.
UCCUGGCUCAGGAUGAACGCUGGCGGCGUGCCUAAUACAUGCAAGUCGAACGAGUUUUGGUCGAUGAACGGUGCUUGCACUGAGAUUCGACUUAAAACGAGUGGCGGACGGGUGAGUAACACGUGGGUAACCUGCCCUUAAGUGGGGGAUAACAUUUGGAAACAGAUGCUAAUACCGCAUAAAUCCAAGAACCGCAUGGUUCUUGGCUGAAAGAUGGCGUCAAGCUAUCGCUUUUGGAUGGACCCGCGGCGUAUUAGCUAGUUGGUGAGGUAACGGCUCACCAAGGCGAUGAUACGUAGCCGAACUGAGAGGUUGAUCGGCCACAUUGGGACUGAGACACGGCCCAAACUCCUACGGGAGGCAGCAGUAGGGAAUCUUCCACAAUGGACGCAAGUCUGAUGGAGCAACGCCGCGUGAGUGAAGAAGGCUUUCGGGUCGUAAAACUCUGUUGUUGGAGAAGAAUGGUCGGCAGAGUAACUGUUGUCGGCGUGACGGUAUCCAACCAGAAAGCCACGGCUAACUACGUGCCAGCAGCCGCGGUAAUACGUAGGUGGCAAGCGUUAUCCGGAUUUAUUGGGCGUAAAGCGAGCGCAGGCGGUUUUUUAAGUCUGAUGUGAAAGCCCUCGGCUUAAC